AAUAGACAACAAAUGAUGAACUUGUGCUCAUGAUACUUUUACUGAGAGAUCAUGGAAAUGAAAGGCCGAUAACGUAAGUUUCGUUACAGAAAUUUACAAGAGACAAAAGGCGAGUAAUGAUCAUUCAUCCUGUAGGUCGGAGACAUACAUUAAAGCGAGCGUUGCAAAGUAUAUACCUAAACUUUAUUACACCAACAUAUGAAAAAACGUAAUAAAUAUUAUAAAUAUAGAGUAGUAUCAAGUAAAAUCGAAUACAACUUGCAGUUCGUCUUUACAUUGUUGCACGCUGGCGCAAUGUAAUAUCGACGUUUAAAACCCCGUUUCUUUAAUUAAACAAUCGUCGAAGACAUUUUUUAACAGAGUAACAUCUUUAUCUUUAUGUACAAAAUAUGAUGUGCUCGCAUCGGAGAAUGGAAACCAAGUUACACGCGUGCCAGUAACCAGUCGUUUUCUUUUACAGAAAGAAUACGAUUACUCGGUAAUUGAACAGGCAUAAAGAAAGAAACACGACGCUAAUCAUUGAAAAAGCUAUAUGUGUAUAUAGUAUAUAACCAUUGGAGUCGAAUGUUUCAUUGAAACGGUAACAAAAUUUCGUUUAUGUUCGUUCGUUCGUUCCCGACGAGAAAACUCCGGCGAUUAUGAGAAGCUUUUUCUUCGGCUAUUAUUGUAUUUGUAUUUACAUAUAUAUGUUAUAUGUAUACGCUUAACCUGAUCUAAUAGGAUUAUUGUAACAAUUUACCAAAAAAUAUCUACACAGUAAAAAUAUAUAUACAUAUAUAUAUAUAUAUACAAUAUAUAUAUAUAUGUUAUGUAUAUACAUAUAAAUACACAUACACAGUAUGUUAUUUACGGGCGCGUGUUCAUAAUGUACUUCGGCUUUUUCUUUUAUUUUUCUUUCUUUCUAGUUGUUCCGAAUCGAUAUAACGCGACGAAUAUUUUCUGCGCUCUGCUUUUCUUUUUCCUCGUUUUAUAUCCAUCUACUCGAUAUAUCUUCUUGUAUGAAGUGACGAGGCCCUUUGAGUCAUAAAAAAGCACAUAUUCUCCGUUCAUCGUGUGCGUAGAGAACAGUGAUGAGCAACUACAAAAUUUUCAAAUUUACACAUUUCUAAACGGUCAAUUCCUCAGCCCAUUCGAAUUUUUCGAAUUCUCAUAUUUCCAACUUUCCAAGUUUAUAAAUUCCAAAACUCUUAAAUUUUCAAAUUUCUAAACCUUCAAAUCCUUGAAUUUCUAAAUUUAUGAACUAUCUUAUACGCGAUCGCUACAUGCCACUCGCACAUUACUACCCUUCAGUGGGCAAAUGAUUUGCCCAUCACUGCUGUAACAUUUAUUUCUCCUGGCAUGAAUCCAUACGUACAAAUGCAUAGGUCGAUGUGCACGUCGUGUUAACGCACAUAACAUGAAUAAUGCACGAUUUGCACGUUCGUAUUUUGGCUGCGAUUUGACGCGGUUAUUAAUAUCUCUAUUUCGACAGCGUGUCAGAAAUUAUUUCGUGGCGCUCGUUCGUAGCGUACCCGCUCAGGGAAAGGAUCAACGCUAACACUAUGUAUACAUAUUUUCAAAACGCUUUUGUUUUCGGAUGCUCUCCCGCAGCUUUUCUCAACAACUAUAAUAAUCGCACGCACUGCAUCAUCCUCCCUAUGAUUACGCGGUGUGCAAUACUCAUUGCACACAUUCCAAAAUAAUGUUUGAACGAUCCAUUUGGAUAAUACAUCGAACGCUGCGUCGUUACUUAAGAAAUAUAUCGCUACGAACCACAUUUAAUCUUAUUAAAAUAUAUGUUGUAUACAUAUCUAUGUAUAUAUAUUCGAUACACGCAUCUAUGAACAUUUAACCCUCUAUAGCCCAACAGGUGUCAUUGCACUAUGCACGUUAUCAUGUUAUUUAAUCGUUACCUUAAUCCUCGACUGACAGUGACCGCGUCAAUUGUUUGACUCGAAUCCACGAAACAUUAUACAACGGUACGUUCAUUAAAAUUAGAUAUUUCAUGUAUUGGGAAAAUAAUAUCUAAAAAAAAUAGUAUGAAAUUUAGCAGAUGAGGGCAAAGACGAAUUCAAAAUUUGAUUCUGUCAUUCAAGGAUUAUUAGUUGUUCGAAGAACUAAUUGUUUAUAAUCGCAUCGAUGUGAGGCUGGUUCAAAACAUCCACCCAAUUCAUACUUCAACACGUUUAGAUCCCAAUGAGUAAUAAUUACACAACCUAGAUAGGCAGUGAACUGCGCAUUUGUUACUUUCGGAUCAAACGUGUUAACGAGCCUCACAAUCUAUGAAAAAUCUAUUAUACUGUUUGCGAAGCUCUAUGCAUAAUAUCAUAUUAAUACAAAUAUUAAUAAAAUUUAUGUGCGUUUCAAGCUUGAAGCAUUUCAAACUUGCAGCGCUCCGAUUUCGCGUCAGUUCUGUUUAUAGCACCAUCGCAAAAUAGAAAACAAAUUUAAUCUUUAAUUACGUUCAGAAAUAAUUCGCGACAGAAAGCAGAAAUGGUCCAUAGAGGGUUAACAGGAAAUAUCGGUAACUUUGAUCGGCAUAACAUCAAUUUGAAUCGUUUCGCAGUCGUGUUUCGUUUUAGUAUCACGAACGCAAACUGUCGUAACGAUGAUUCUUCGUUUCUUCGUUAAUCAUCACAGACGGAAAAAGACUUAAUUACCAUGUAAUAAGGGCCAACAGAUUCAUAUCUUUAUUCGCCUGGUUUCCUCGACACAGUUUUCGUUCGAUUUCGCUCGAUCUCCUCUUACUUGCUCGUUGUUCGGCCGUCGAAUUCAUAAAAGAAAAAUAAAAGCGGAAAACUGGACACUGCCGUGACUGAUUUCUACAUUUCCAUUGUUUUAUUUCGCUGAUUUACAAGUUUAAUCGAUCCCAGGAAACGCACGUUUGUGCGUCAACUAGAUACGACGAAUAACGAGAGCUUUCUGCACCCAAUUAUAAACAAUAAAUCGUGCGUGCAGAAGAAUACAACAAAUCGCUGUAGUUAACGUUGCUUAAACUAUGCACAAAUUUCACAAACAUCGCUCAACGGUUUCACAGGAUACACGAAUCAUUCGCAUUCUAUUUGUUCAUCAUCCAUCCUCCUUCCCUUCGAAAGAAACUGAGAUUCAUUGAAACGUUCUUUUCACGAUAAAAAAGCGUUUUGUGCUAAUGUAGCUCGAAUGAAGAUGAAACUGAAAAGCGCUCGCUCGCGAGACAAGAAUAGAAUUGUUACGAAUUUUAUAGUGUUAGAUGAUAGAAGGGGAAGAGGAAAUCGUACGAAGAAUUGACAAUUUGAAAAUGCAUUUUCUUUUUUCCUUCGUUCUCUCCUUUUUUCCUCUUUUUUUUCAUCACGUGUAACGCGAUAGUUUUUCUUCGCACGAUUCACAUCUCCAUUUUCGCAUCUAUGCGUGACAACAUCUGGUGUGUGUGUGUACGUGUUACGUGUAUGCGCGUGUCUCUCUGUGUAUGUAUGUACGUAUGUACGUGUAUGUAUGUACGUGUGUGUGUGUAAUUAAAAGACGACCUUAUUCCGAGGAAUCACACGAAUUUCAUUGGUAUACUGCAUACAUUGGUGUUACUAGGAAAAGCCGAGGGUGGGUUUAGCCCUUCUUAAACGACAAAUUAGAAAUGUUUAAUUUUCUCUAAAAAUUCAAACUCGUAAAUUUCUAAAUCCUCGAGUCCCUAAAUUUCCAAAUUACCAAUUUUCCAAAGCGACUUUAUUACGCCUUAGCCCACCCCAGACAAAAGACCUAGUUACACCGACGACAGCAUCUUGUGCUUAGCAUAACGUAUGCCUAGCAUAUCGCGCGUAUUAGUUAAAAAUCGAACACGCGGCACCACCUUCAAUAAGAAAAGUCUAUCGAAGAGAAGAACACAUCACGAUGUAAUAUACGUCAGCGUGUAACAACAGCCAUAGUCUACGAAUUAGAGCAAGAACAUCGGCAUUUGUGACUAAUUCUGUGUUCGUCUUAAAUAUGCGUAUCUAUUGUCGCUGCUAUUAAUCUUGUUCGUUAAAAAACAAUCACUCUCUCGAUCGCUAUAUUACAUUUCCAAUUGUUCUGUGUUUGGUCCCACGAAAUUGCACGAUUAAAUGUUUUAUUUCUAACUAUGGGCCAAUUCUCUUUUCUAAACGUUUCUCCGCAAUAAAAUAAUUAGCGUAGUAUCAAUUUCGAGGGAAUGCUAUGAAACGAAGCUAGAGAAACGAACGACGAUAAUUGACCAAUUGAAGCGGUUAAAAAAUUGCAUUGCAUUCGAUUGACUUUCGUCGGAAUAAGGCAUGCCGCAGUGUAACAAA
This 4253-nucleotide long non-coding RNA is filed under the name Megachile rotundata (alfalfa leafcutting bee). RNAcentral describes it as "uncharacterized LOC105664158". The record is from RNAcentral. Lineage: Eukaryota; Metazoa; Arthropoda; Insecta; Hymenoptera; Megachilidae.